CGCUAUCACUCCUACGGGGAGGCAGCAGUAAGGAAUAUUGGUCAAUGGAGGGAACUCUGAACCAGCCAUGCCGCGUGCAGGAAGACAGCCCUCUGGGUCGUAAACUGCUUUUAUUCGGGGAAUAAACCUUUCUACGUGUAGGAAGCUGAAUGUACCGAAGGAAUAAGGAUCGGCUAACUCCCGUGCCAGCAGCCGCGGUAAUACGGAGGAUCCAAGCGUUAUCCGGAUUUAUUGGGUUUAAAAGGGUGCGUAGGCGGCUUAUUAAGUCAGGGGUGAAAGACGGUGGCUCAACCAUCGCAGUGCCCUUGAUACUGAUGAGCUUGAAUACACUAGAGGUAGGCGGAAUGUGACAAGUAGCGGUGAAAUGCAUAGAUAUGUCACAGAACACCGAUUGCGAAGGCAGCUUACUAUGGUGUUAUUGACGCUGAGGCACGAAAGCGUGGGGAUCAAACAGGAUUAGAUACCCUGGUAG
This 472-nucleotide ribosomal RNA is filed under the name uncultured bacterium. Its description in RNAcentral is "bacterial SSU rRNA". It matches the Rfam family "Bacterial small subunit ribosomal RNA", at positions 328 to 793 of the family's 1533-position model. The record is from RNAcentral.